RNAcentral lists this long non-coding RNA (616 nucleotides) under Homo sapiens (human). Its description in RNAcentral is "non-protein coding lnc-WRB-1:2". Lineage: Eukaryota; Metazoa; Chordata; Mammalia; Primates; Hominidae. The record is from RNAcentral.
ACGGGGUUUCACCAUUUACUUACCUAGACUGUCUCAAACUGCUGGGCUCAAGCGAUGCACCUGCCUUGGGGGAUUCUUAGUAAAUCUACAGGGCUGUGCAACCAUCACCACAAUCCAGUUUUGGAACACUUAAAUCACCUGGAAAAGAUCCCGCCUGUCCAUCUGCAGCCAAUCCUGGCCAUAACUCCCGAAGCCCCAGGGCAGAAUGUACCAAGAUUGCAACAUCCUGAGAUAAAGAGGAACAACCCAGGCUCUCUCCACGAUCCUCCUAGAACAGAUGUCCUGCAACACUUGUGAUCAGUUAAGUCAAGUCCUGGCCAGAGUAUAAAACCCAGAGUUGGGGGGUGGUGUGCUUUCUGAGUCCCUCAGCUGCAGUGUGAAGUGGAGCUCGUGCAGAUGAGACUUCCUCUGUCCUAUGCACCUUUCUUGAGGCUUGGGGACCAGCUCACCGUGGAUCCUAGGCUUCUGUUGGCUUUUGCCGCCUUUCUGGGAGUAAUAAAGUUGCUUUGCCUUACUUGUGUAAGUGUUCUAUCUCCCUGGACUUAUACUCGGACAGCUGGGUUUGUGCAAAAUCUCCUAGCAAAUGCAGGAAUCUUAGCAGAAAUUAACGAGGUGU